UAACCCUCCUCCAGAUUGAAUAUCUGGCAGCUCUAAGAAUUCUUAUCUCUUUGGUGCAGAGAUCCAAAAUUGCUGUGUAUGAGAAAAUGUGGUCUUACAUGAAAUCAGCGGAGCCAUCUGUGUUUACCAAAACAACAGCAGACGGAGUGGCCCGAGUGCGAAAGUCCAAGGGAAAGUUCGCCUUCCUGCUGGAGUCAACCAUGAAUGAGUACAUUGAGCAGAGAAAACCAUGUGAUACGAUGAAAGUUGGUGGAAAUCUGGAUUCCAAAGGCUAUGGUGUGGCAACCCCUAAAGGCUCAGCAUUAAGAAAUGCUGUUAACCUGGCAGUAUUAAAACUGAAUGAGCAAGGCCUCUUGGACAAAUUGAAAAACAAAUGGUGGUACGACAAAGGAGAGUGCGGCAGCGGGGGCGGUGACUCCAAGGACAAGACCAGUGCUCUGAGCCUGAGCAAUGUGGCAGGCGUUUUCUAUAUACUUGUCGGAGGUCUGGGGCUGGCCAUGAUGGUGGCUUUGAUAGAAUUCUGUUACAAAUCACGGGCAGAGUCCAAACGCAUGAAACUCACAAAGAACACCCAAAACUUUAAGCCUGCUCCUGCCACCAACACUCAGAAUUAUGCUACAUACAGAGAAGGCUACAACGUGUAUGGAACAGAGAGUGUUAAGAUCUAGGGAUCCCUUCCCACUGGAGGCAUGUGAUGAGAGGAAAUCACCGAAAACGUGGCUGCUUCAAGGAUCCUGAGCCAGAUUUCACUCUCCUUGGUGUCGGGCAUGACACGAAUAUUGCUGAUGGUGCAAUGACCUUUCAAUAGGAAAAACUGAUUUUUUUUUCCUUCAGUGCCUUAUGGAACACUCUGAGACUCGCGACAAUGCAAACCAUCAUUGAAAUCUUUUUUGCUUUGCUUGAAAAAAAUAAUUAAAAUAAAAACCAACAAAAAAUGGACAUGCAAGAUUCCAGUAUGCGAAAAAAAAAUCUUAUUAAGUCAAUCCAACAAAAGCCAUUCUUUGAUACCACUGCAGAGUAUACAAACACCAUGUUCUUUAAUACACACACACACACACACACACACACACACAUUUAUAUUCCAAUUCAGAAAAGAGGCCCAUCUACCAUAAAAGAAUUAAUUCUUCCUGAUUAAAAAGAAAAAAUCUGUCUCCCAGUGUUUGGGAAGACGGACUGGCAUUUCUUCUAGGAUCUGCUGACCAGAUGUUUUUGGUAUUUCCUGUUGGUGGUGAUGUUCUGUGCACCCUAUUUCCUUUCAAUGUUGCUGAAAUGUGUAUAUCUUUAGAAUGUAAAUGCAACACUUAAGAAAAUUCAAACACUUUGGAAAAGGGACUAAACAGUGACUUCUCUGUGUUCUCGAAAUGGUUUUGUGAAAACACUUUGAUAACUUUCCACUCAAUGAAGAGAUUUACAGAGCUUUCGAAAUUGACUUUGUGUGUAGCAAGGGACGGGGCACUAUCAGGAUACCUCUUGGUGCUUUCCUAAAGUGGAUCCCGGGGUUUUCCAAGGAGCCUGGAAUUUCAGCUCACAGAUCUGUUUUUCUUGCUUCAGUGUGCAUUUUAAGUCAAUAGAGCUGAGUAUCUAGCAUUGAGGUGAGGGAAAUGCUGCCUAUACUCCCAGAUGUGUUUAGAGUAUCUCAGAAACAACACUGUGUUUAGCUCGGCUUUCUCUGCUAAGUAUGCCUUUCAAGUGUACACCACGGAGACAGGACUGCAUUGCAAGGCGGGAUAGCAGGUUCAGACCACAGUUCUCAGUCUGACUUUACUCUUGCUAGGUCUGUCCUACUAGCUGUUGCCUGCUACCGCCCAUGGCUCUCCAUCGGACUGCAUGUGUCCUUUUCUAGUUUGCAAAGACUAAAAUGCAUUCCCAAACCUACUGCUAAUCUGAGGGCCUCAGCAUCAUUUCCAGAUCCUUGCUUGGAGCAGUCUCUCUAUUGACUCUCUCAGAUCGCUCCACUGCUCCAUGGGCUAUCAAGUAACUAACUGCAUACCUGCCGUUGGCAUCAUCAGAACAGUCCGAAGAAAUAGUCUCCACUCACUAAUUACCUCCUAUAUAACGACGUAUGCUUCCUGUAGUUCAGUAGUUUUCUCUCAUCAGUAACGUGCAUUGGGAAGUUUCCAGACUGCAAAAACUAGGAGCUCGCAUUCAUUUCCCAAGUGUGACCCUUAGAUGCUUAGUUGACUCGCUGCAUAUUUGCUCUUGUCUUCAGAAAAGAAAGGAAGAAGUAUCGUUCCAACGAAAUGUUUCCAGAAAAGUGUAAUAUAAACUUUCAUUCCAAAAAUGGUGUCAUAAGCAAACAACUCACUUAUCAAAUUUCAAAUGGUAUUGAACAAAAAAAGAAGGCUGUUGUGUUUUUGUUUUGUUUUGUUUUCAUGAAACUGUGAUUUUCAACUUAUAAAUGCUAUAAUGUCCCAGCGCAGGAAGCUCACGCUGUGUGAACACGAAGUUGUAUAAAACAAACCAACCAACCUACACACAAACGUUUUCAUAGGCACUGUAUAAAGAAAAAUGUAUGUUUAUUAACUCAAAUCAGUUUUUCAGAGAGGAAACUUCACUGAGAUGAAGAGGCGGGUAAAUUGGUUUGUUAUUUUUUAAAAAAACUUGCAUGUUUAAAAAAAACGUUGAUUGCUUCAAAUUUCUGCUACUAACUUCAAGCUAUGGGAGUUUGGCAGUAGUCACUUGAGGAUUUUUUUUUCCAAUUCUUUUCUUUUUGUUGUUAAAGCUGUACUUCAGUGAACAGAAAAAUUGCCAAGCAAACUAAUGGCUAUAAAAGGGUAAAUUGCAUGUGUGGGCAUANUGGUGAUGUUCUGUGCACCCUAUUUCCUUUCAAUGUUGCUGAAAUGUGUAUAUCUUUAGAAUGUAAAUGCAACACUUAAGAAAAUUCAAACACUUUGGAAAAGGGACUAAACAGUGACUUCUCUGUGUUCUCGAAAUGGUUUUGUGAAAACACUUUGAUAACUUUCCACUCAAUGAAGAGAUUUACAGAGCUUUCGAAAUUGACUUUGUGUGUAGCAAGGGACGGGGCACUAUCAGGAUACCUCUUGGUGCUUUCCUAAAGUGGAUCCCGGGGUUUUCCAAGGAGCCUGGAAUUUCAGCUCACAGAUCUGUUUUUCUUGCUUCAGUGUGCAUUUUAAGUCAAUAGAGCUGAGUAUCUAGCAUUGAGGUGAGGGAAAUGCUGCCUAUACUCCCAGAUGUGUUUAGAGUAUCUCAGAAACAACACUGUGUUUAGCUCGGCUUUCUCUGCUAAGUAUGCCUUUCAAGUGUACACCACGGAGACAGGACUGCAUUGCAAGGCGGGAUAGCAGGUUCAGACCACAGUUCUCAGUCUGACUUUACUCUUGCUAGGUCUGUCCUACUAGCUGUUGCCUGCUACCGCCCAUGGCUCUCCAUCGGACUGCAUGUGUCCUUUUCUAGUUUGCAAAGACUAAAAUGCAUUCCCAAACCUACUGCUAAUCUGAGGGCCUCAGCAUCAUUUCCAGAUCCUUGCUUGGAGCAGUCUCUCUAUUGACUCUCUCAGAUCGCUCCACUGCUCCAUGGGCUAUCAAGUAACUAACUGCAUACCUGCCGUUGGCAUCAUCAGAACAGUCCGAAGAAAUAGUCUCCACUCACUAAUUACCUCCUAUAUAACGACGUAUGCUUCCUGUAGUUCAGUAGUUUUCUCUCAUCAGUAACGUGCAUUGGGAAGUUUCCAGACUGCAAAAACUAGGAGCUCGCAUUCAUUUCCCAAGUGUGACCCUUAGAUGCUUAGUUGACUCGCUGCAUAUUUGCUCUUGUCUUCAGAAAAGAAAGGAAGAAGUAUCGUUCCAACGAAAUGUUUCCAGAAAAGUGUAAUAUAAACUUUCAUUCCAAAAAUGGUGUCAUAAGCAAACAACUCACUUAUCAAAUUUCAAAUGGUAUUGAACAAAAAAAGAAGGCUGUUGUGUUUUUGUUUUGUUUUGUUUUCAUGAAACUGUGAUUUUCAACUUAUAAAUGCUAUAAUGUCCCAGCGCAGGAAGCUCACGCUGUGUGAACACGAAGUUGUAUAAAACAAACCAACCAACCUACACACAAACGUUUUCAUAGGCACUGUAUAAAGAAAAAUGUAUGUUUAUUAACUCAAAUCAGUUUUUCAGAGAGGAAACUUCACUGAGAUGAAGAGGCGGGUAAAUUGGUUUGUUAUUUUUUAAAAAAACUUGCAUGUUUAAAAAAAACGUUGAUUGCUUCAAAUUUCUGCUACUAACUUCAAGCUAUGGGAGUUUGGCAGUAGUCACUUGAGGAUUUUUUUUUCCAAUUCUUUUCUUUUGUUGUUAAAGCUGUACUUCAGUGAACAGAAAAUUGCCAAGCAAACUAAUGGCUAUAAAAGGGUAAAUUGCAUGUGUGGGCAUAAAUUACAGAGCCUCAUUGCCAUGAGGUAUUGUACAAAGUUUUAAUACAUUUUGUAAAUAAAAUUGUAAAGA
This is a long non-coding RNA of Rhinopithecus bieti (black snub-nosed monkey), 4436 nucleotides long. Lineage: Eukaryota; Metazoa; Chordata; Mammalia; Primates; Cercopithecidae. The record is from Ensembl.